Molecule: long non-coding RNA, 205 nt
Filed under: Capsicum annuum
Lineage: Eukaryota; Viridiplantae; Streptophyta; Magnoliopsida; Solanales; Solanaceae
Description: long non-coding RNA (CANN_LNC019657)
Source: RNAcentral
UUUCGACUGAACUGAUGGAUGCACUGAACUGAUAUACUGUUUCUGUUUCGACUGAACAGAUGCAAUUCUUCAAUGAAGUGAUGCACUGUUUCGAACAGGUGCACUAUUUGGUGAAAUGGUAUACUGCUUCAGCAAAAAUGCUGCAGACAUGCAUUUUCAGAAACAUCACACCAUUUAAAUGAACCAAUGCCACCUUUUCGAAGAG